RNAcentral lists this ribosomal RNA (1392 nucleotides) under uncultured bacterium. Its description in RNAcentral is "16S ribosomal RNA". It matches the Rfam family "Bacterial small subunit ribosomal RNA", at positions 49 to 1425 of the family's 1533-position model. The record is from RNAcentral.
UAAGGCAUGCAAGUCGAACGAGUACGGUCCGCAAGGAUCGUGCUAGUGGCAAACGGGUGAGUAACACAUUGGUAACCUACCCCAAAGUGUGGAACAACCCUCCGAAAGGAGGGCUAAUACCACAUGUGGUUUUCUGGCAUAUGUCAGAAAAAGAAAGGCUCGCAAGAGUCGCUUUGGGAGGGGCCUAUGGCUUAUCAGCUAGUUGGUGAGGUAAUAGCUCACCAAGGCUAUGACGAGUAGCGGGCGUGAGAGCGCGACCCGCCUCAGUGGAACUGAGACACUGUCCACACUCCUACGGGAGGCUGCAGUCGAGAAUAUUCCCCAAUGGACGAAAGUCUGAGGGAGCGACGCCGCGUGCAGGAUGAAGGCCUUCGGGUUGUAAACUGCUUUUCUCUGGGAAGAACACUGACCGUACCAGAGGAAUAAGAGGUUGCUAACUCUGUGCCAGCAGCAGCGGUAAUACAGAGACCUCGAGCGUUAUCCGGAUUUAUUGGGCGUAAAGGGUCCGCAGGUGGUUUUGUAAGUCUUCGGUUAAAUUCUUGAGCUCAACUCGAGAACCGCCGAGGAAACUAUAAGACUAGAGACUGGGAGAGGCAAGCGGAAUUGCCGGUGUAGUAGUAAAAUGCGUUAAUAUCGGCAAGAACACCAAAUGCGAAGGCAGCUUGCUAGAACAGUUCUGACACUCAGGGACGAAAGCGUGGGGAGCGAUACGGAUUAGAUACCCGUGUAGUCCACGCCCUAAACAAUGGGUACUGGGCAUUGGAAGUAUCGACCCUUUCAGUGCCGCAUAUCAAAGCUAACGCGUUAAGUACCCCGCCUGGGGAGUACGGCCGCAAGGCUAAAACUCAAAGGAAUUGACGGGAACCCGCACAAGCGGUGGAGCAUGUGGUUCAAUUCGACAAUAAGCGUGGAACCUUACCAGGGCUUGACAUGCUGGAAGUAUUCUCCCGGAAACGGGAGAUGACCGUUAAAUCGGAUUCCAGCACAGGUGCUGCAUGGUUGUCGUCAGCUCGUGUCGUGAGAUGUUCCGUUAAGUCGGGAAACGAGCGCAACCCUCACGGCCAGUUACUAUAUCUGGCCGAACUGCCCCGCACCCAGUACAUUUGCUAAGCAAGUGUGUUGAGUGCGGGGAGGAAGGUGAGGAUGACGUCAAAUCAGCAUGGCUCUUACGUCCUGGGCGACACACGUGCUACAAUGGCCGGCUACAAUGGGUUGCCAAACCGUAAGGUGGAGCUAAUCCCAUAAAACCGGUCCCAGUUCGGAUUGAGGUCUGAAACUCGACCUCAUGAAGCCGGAAUCGCUAGUAAACGCGCAUCAGCCACGGCGCGUUGAAUACGUUCUCGGGUUUUGUACACACCGCCCGUCACGCCAAGAGAGUCGGGGGUACCUGAA